RNAcentral lists this small RNA (388 nucleotides) under Paucilactobacillus oligofermentans DSM 15707 = LMG 22743. RNAcentral's name for it is "Lactobacillus oligofermentans DSM 15707 = LMG 22743 cspA thermoregulator". It matches the Rfam family "cspA thermoregulator". Lineage: Bacteria; Bacillati; Bacillota; Bacilli; Lactobacillales; Lactobacillaceae. The record is from Rfam by way of RNAcentral.
AUUGGUAUGCUAUACUAUGUCUUGUAGUUUAAGUAAGGUAAUUUUGGUUCGAUCGUUUCAUUGUUUGGAAUAUCCCCAAUUUGCACCGGAACAUGAAUUACAAAAAAACGUACGUGCAAUUGCACAGGAGGAUUUUCAACAUGGAACAAGGAACAGUAAAAUGGUUUAACGCAGAUAAAGGUUUUGGUUUUAUUACUCGCGAAGAUGGCAAUGAUGUAUUCGUACAUUUCUCAGCUAUCCAAGGUGACGGAUUCAAGACUCUUGAUGAAGGCCAAGCAGUAACUUUCGACGUAGAAGAAAGCGACCGUGGACCACAAGCAGUUAACGUAAACAAGGCUUAAUUUUAAUUAAUCCUUAACUCCCAAAGCCGUCCGGCUUUGGGAGUUUU